CUGCAUGGUUGUCGUCAGCUCGUGCCGUGAGGUGUCGGGUUAAGUCCCAUAACGAGCGCAACCCUAUCAUUAGUUGCCAUCAGGUCAAGCUGGGGACUCUAAUGAAACUGCCUACGCGAAGUAGUGAGGAAGGUGGGGAUGACGUCCAAAUCAGCACGGCCCUUACGUCCAGGGCUACACACGUGUUACAAUGGCCGGUACAAAGGGCAGCUACUUCGCGAGAAGAUGCUAAUCUCGAAAGCCGGUCUCAGUUCGGAUCGAAGUCUGCAACCCGACUUCGUGAAGCUGGAUUCGCUAGUAAUCGCGCAUCAGCCAUGGCGCGGUGAAUACGUUCCCGGGCCUU
RNAcentral lists this ribosomal RNA (343 nucleotides) under uncultured Prolixibacter sp. RNAcentral's name for it is "bacterial SSU rRNA". It matches the Rfam family "Bacterial small subunit ribosomal RNA", at positions 1041 to 1382 of the family's 1533-position model. Lineage: Bacteria; Pseudomonadati; Bacteroidota; Bacteroidia; Marinilabiliales; Prolixibacteraceae. The record is from RNAcentral.